UACGGGGGGGGCAAGCGUUGUUCGGAAUUACUGGGCGUAAAGGGCUUGUAGGUGGCCAACUAAGUCAAAGGUGAAAUCCCUCGGCUCAACUGAGGAACUGCCUUUGAAACUGAGGAGCUUGAGUCCGGGAGGGGGUAGCGGAAUUCCCAGUGUAGCGGUGAAAUGCGUAGAUAUUGGGAGGAACACCAGUGGCGAAGGCGGCUACCUGGACCGGAACUGACGCUGAUGCGCGAAAGCGUGGGUAGCAAACAGG
Molecule: ribosomal RNA, 253 nt
Filed under: uncultured bacterium
Lineage: Bacteria
Description: partial 16S ribosomal RNA
Rfam family: Bacterial small subunit ribosomal RNA
Source: RNAcentral